UACAGUUGGCACAUAGUCACUAGGAAACUUGUUUGUAGUAUAGGAAAUAAGCAGACAGGUCUACAUUCAAACGGUCAGUAUGUGUAAAACUCAAAAGAACAAUUUUUGGAAAGAAAGAAAUAAAGGGGAAUGUAUAGACAAAAGAAACUUCAUUUUAGAUGAUAGCAAUUCUUGUAUUUUUUUAUGCAUUGCUUAACUUCACCUUCCGUAAACAUCAACUCACCUUUCCUACAGCACCGUCUCCUACU
This is a non-coding RNA of Schizosaccharomyces pombe (fission yeast), 248 nucleotides long. NCBI's taxonomy places the organism in Eukaryota, Fungi, Ascomycota, Schizosaccharomycetes, Schizosaccharomycetales, Schizosaccharomycetaceae. The record is from the annotation of a GenBank genome assembly.